This 1031-nucleotide ribosomal RNA is filed under the name uncultured organism. Its description in RNAcentral is "bacterial SSU rRNA". It matches the Rfam family "Bacterial small subunit ribosomal RNA", at positions 257 to 1296 of the family's 1533-position model. The record is from RNAcentral.
GUAAUGGCUUACCAAGGCGAAGACGGCUAGGGGGCGUGAGAGCGCGACCCCCCACAAUGGAACUGAGACACGGUCCAUACUCCUACGGGAGGCUGCAGUGAGGAAUAUUGCGCAAUGGGGGCAACCCUGACGCAGCAACGCCGCGUGGACGAUGAAGGCCUUCGGGUUGUAAAGUCCUUUUCUGAAGGACGAUAAGUGACGGUACUUCAGGAAUAAGUCCCGGCUACUACGUGCCAGCAGAUGCCGGUAAUACGUAGGUGGCGAGCGUUAUUCGGAAUUAUUGGGCCUAGAGGGUUCGGAGGGGGUAAUGUAAGUUCCGGUGUGAAAUCUCGAGGCUCACCCUCGAAACUGGCAAUUGCGAACUGCAAUUACUUGAGUGUCAGAGAGGGAAGCGGAAUUUCCUGGUGUAGCGGGUGGAAUGCGGUAGAUAUCAGGAAAGAACACCGGACGGCGAAGGCAGCUUUCUGGCUGGCAACUGACCCUGAUGAACGAAAGCUAGGGUAGCGAACAGGAUUAGAUACCCUGGUAGUCCUAGCUGUAAACGUUGUGCACUGGAUGUGGGCGGAUUUGGUUCCCGUCUGUGUCUGAGCGAAGGCGUUAAGUGCACCGCCUGGGGACUACGGCCGCAAGGCUAUAACUCAAAGGAAUUGACGGGGGCCCGCACAAGCGGUGGAGCAUGUGGCUCAAUUCGAGGCAACGCGAAGAACCUUACCUGGGUUUGACAUAUACCUGACCGCCGGUGAGAGCCGGUUUCUCUUUGAGCAGGUAUACAGGUGCUGCAUGGCUGUCGACAGCUCGUGCUGUGAAGUGUUCGGUUAAGUCCGGCAACGAGCGCAACCCACGCUGUUAGUUACCAUCAGGUAAUGCUGGGGACUCUAACAGGACUGCCCGUGCUAAGCGGGAGGAAGGCGUGGACGACGUCAAGUCCGCAUGGCCCUUACGCCCAGGGCUGCACACGUGCUACAAUGGCCGGUACAGAGGGUCGCCACUCUGCGAAGAGGAGCUAAUCACGAAAACCGGCCUCAGUUCGG